GAUGAAGAACGUAGCGAAAUGCGAUACGUAAUGUGAAUUGCAGAAUUCAGUGAAUCAUCGAGUCUUUGAACGCACAUUGCGCCCGCUAGUAUUCUGGCGGGCAUGCCUGUCCGAGCGUCAUUUCAACCCUCGGGAGCCCCUUUGCGGGGGCUGCCGGUGUUGGGGAUCGCCCGCCGCCAUGGUGGACGUCCCCUAAAACGAUUGGCGGUCUCGCUGUAGCCUCCUCUGCGCAGUAGCACUUGUUCUCGCAGGCGGAGCGCGGCGCGGCCAAGCCGUUAAACCCCCAACUUUUUUACUAGGUUGACCUCGGAUCAGGUAGGAAUACCCGCUGAACUUAAGCAUAUCAAUAAGCGGAGGA
This 358-nucleotide unclassified non-coding RNA is filed under the name soil metagenome. RNAcentral's name for it is "partial contains 5.8S ribosomal RNA, internal transcribed spacer 2, and large subunit ribosomal RNA". The stretch from base 1 to 120 matches the Rfam family "5.8S ribosomal RNA", at positions 35 to 154 of the family's 154-position model. The record is from RNAcentral.